RNAcentral lists this unclassified non-coding RNA (234 nucleotides) under uncultured Amanita. RNAcentral describes it as "sequence contains ITS2". The record is from RNAcentral. Lineage: Eukaryota; Fungi; Basidiomycota; Agaricomycetes; Agaricales; Amanitaceae.
AAUUCUCUCAAAACAUGCACUUGAGUGAUUGUGUGUUUUGGAUUGUUGGGAGUCUGCUGGUUUUGGGCCAGCUCUCCUUAAAAACAUUAGCUUUGGGAGGGAUGUGCUGAGUCACUUCUGCCAUUCUAUUGGUGUGAUAGAUUAACGUUUAUAUCUACACCAGGUUUGCAGGUGUCACGCAUUUUUAAUCUCUCUGCUCUCUAAUCCGGAGACUCCUUUGUCUCUUCUGAAAAC